Ceratotherium simum simum (southern white rhinoceros) is the source of this 102-nucleotide non-coding RNA. The record is from RefSeq and is a predicted model, not a curated record. Lineage: Eukaryota; Metazoa; Chordata; Mammalia; Perissodactyla; Rhinocerotidae.
CAUAAGUAGCAAUGGGAGUUUUCAGAAUUCUGAAUAAUUAUUAAGAGUAUAACUAAGAGCCUCGCUGUUUUGUUUUGUUGAACAGCUGGAGAAAAGUAGAAA